This 28-nucleotide ribosomal RNA is filed under the name Ceratodon purpureus. RNAcentral describes it as "partial 26S ribosomal RNA". The record is from RNAcentral. Lineage: Eukaryota; Viridiplantae; Streptophyta; Bryopsida; Pseudoditrichales; Ditrichaceae.
CAGACCUCUGAUCAGGGAAGACUACCCG